UGCCAGCAGCUGCGGUUAGACCGAAUGAAUGGGUGGAGGCACAGAGCAUAAGUAGUUAUGAGAGAAUCUUUUGGUGAGUUAUUAUUAGCGCAAGGAAAGGUUGAAAUCUGAAACUUCUUAGAAUAAAAAGCAAACCAAAAGAGUUACAGAAGCUACGAAAGCCUGGAGUUAAACCAGGAUUAGAUACCCUGUUAUACCAGGUCGAAAAAACAAAUGCUUGGGUAGUAACAGCUAUGAGCUUGAAAACCAAAAGAUUUGGCGGUAUCCUAACCAAAUUAGAGGAACCUGUCCCUUAAUACGAUACACCACGUUAUAUCUUACUUUGUUUAGUUUACAGUUUCUAUACCGCCAUGGUUGGUUUCGCUUUAAAGCAAUUACCAAAAUAGGGUGUUUAACUCUAAGAGAUUUGGUCGAGGUUGAGCCUAUAACAAAGUGGGAGAUGGGUUACAAUAUAAUUUAUAUAUUUACGGAUAAGAAGAGUGAAACCUCUCUUUGAAGUCGGAUUUAACAGUAAUUUAAGUUUAAUAUGCUUAAAUGAAGGUGCUCUAGGAUGUGUACAGAUCGCCCGUCGCCCCCGCUUCCAAAGGUGAGAUAAGUCGUACAAAGGAGGUGCGGAUUAAUCC
RNAcentral lists this ribosomal RNA (623 nucleotides) under Periclimenella spinifera. RNAcentral's name for it is "partial 12S ribosomal RNA". It matches the Rfam family "Bacterial small subunit ribosomal RNA", at positions 506 to 1513 of the family's 1533-position model. The record is from RNAcentral. Lineage: Eukaryota; Metazoa; Arthropoda; Malacostraca; Decapoda; Palaemonidae.